GAUGAACGCUGGCGGCGUGCCUAAUACAUGCAAGUCGAGCGAACAGACGAGGAGCUUGCUCCUCUGACGUUAGCGGCGGACGGGUGAGUAACACGUGGAUAACCUACCUCUAAGACUGGGAUAACUUCGGGAAACCGGAGCUAAUACCGGAUAAUAUAUUGAACCGCAUGGUUCAAUAGUGAAAGACGGUUUUGCUGUCACUUAUAGCUGGAUCCGCGCCGCAUUAGCUAGUUGGUAAGGUAACGGCUUACCAAGGCGACGAUGCGUAGCCGACCUGAGAGGGUGAUCGGCCACACUGGAACUGAGACACGGUCCAGACUCCUACGGGAGGCAGCAGUAGGGAAUCUUCCGCAAUGGGCGAAAGCCUGACGGAGCAACGCCGCGUGAGUGAUGAAGGUCUUCGGAUCGUAAAACUCUGUUAUUAGGGAAGAACAAAUGUGUAAGUAACUAUGCACGUCUUGACGGUACCUAAUCAGAAAGCCACGGCUAACUACGUG
Molecule: ribosomal RNA, 497 nt
Filed under: uncultured bacterium
Lineage: Bacteria
Description: partial 16S ribosomal RNA
Rfam family: Bacterial small subunit ribosomal RNA
Source: RNAcentral